RNAcentral lists this long non-coding RNA (373 nucleotides) under Homo sapiens (human). Its description in RNAcentral is "HSALNT0345661". The record is from RNAcentral. Lineage: Eukaryota; Metazoa; Chordata; Mammalia; Primates; Hominidae.
GAGGCAGAGGCCUGAGGAAGCUUGUUCGGCCCUUCUGCCCUGAGAGGAAGCAGCCAGAAGGCGCUGUCUGUGAGAAACCAGCCCUCACCCGACACUGAGUCAGCUGGCACCUUGAUCUCAGACUGUCCAGCCUUUGGAACUGAAGCUUUUCAACAUCGUGAGGAUUGCAUAAUCAACUCUGAACAUCUGGAAUAGGAGCCUGACUGAACAGAGCAGAAGUGAACUUUCCCGGAGCUCCCAUACUCCAUCCACUCAACUCAACAAAUGUUGACUUAGUGCCUAUGAUGUACAGCACUCAGUGCUAAAAUGCAGUAGGGAAAUAAAUAAGUCUCUUUGGUCUGAUUGAAAUUAAUUUCCUCAUUUCUAAAGGAGG